AUAGCUUUACCCUAAUGGUAAGGGAUACCUUUGCUAAAGGCAGCAUCUUGGUUCAAAUCUAAAGUACAUA
Molecule: transfer RNA, 70 nt
Filed under: Petrobiona massiliana
Lineage: Eukaryota; Metazoa; Porifera; Calcarea; Baerida; Petrobionidae
Description: tRNA-Ser
Source: RNAcentral